CGCUCUGUGAAGUAAUUUUUAUACGGAGUCGUACCUGCCCGGUGGAAAUCUAAACGGCUGCGGUACCCUGACCGUGCAAAGGUAGCAUAAUCACUUGCCUUUUAAUUGGUGGCUGGAAUGAAAGGUUUGUCAAUACUUCAGCUGUCUCCUGGGGGUUUUCUCGAAUUUAAGAAACAGGGGAAGGAGCCUGUAUUCGAUUAAAGGACGAGAAGACCCUAUAAAGCUAGCUGUUAUAUAAGCUAAGUGUUUAUAUACAGAUUGAUUGGGGCAAUCAGGGAAUAAGAAAAACUUCCCUCUCCAAGAAUAAAUAUUAGAACCAUAUUUACUUAUGAACUUAGGAUAGCUACUUUAGGGAUAACAGCACCAUUUCCUUUGAGAGACCUUAUUAAAAAGGAAGAUUGUGACCUCGAUGUUGGACUAAAGGAGCUUGGUGGAGCAGUAG
This 442-nucleotide ribosomal RNA is filed under the name Iravadia reflecta. RNAcentral's name for it is "partial 16S rRNA". It matches the Rfam family "Bacterial large subunit ribosomal RNA", at positions 1817 to 2561 of the family's 2925-position model. The record is from RNAcentral. Lineage: Eukaryota; Metazoa; Mollusca; Gastropoda; Littorinimorpha; Iravadiidae.